GGAAACCGGUGAAAAUCCGGUGCGGUCGCGCCACUGUGAACGGAUCCCCCGGGAGCCGUGAGUCAGGACGC
Molecule: non-coding RNA, 71 nt
Filed under: Actinoplanes friuliensis
Lineage: Bacteria; Bacillati; Actinomycetota; Actinomycetes; Micromonosporales; Micromonosporaceae
Also listed under: 1 other name
Source: RNAcentral